Molecule: ribosomal RNA, 197 nt
Filed under: uncultured bacterium
Lineage: Bacteria
Description: partial 16S ribosomal RNA
Rfam family: Bacterial small subunit ribosomal RNA
Source: RNAcentral
ACGCUCGACACCUACGGGGGCAGCAGUGGGGAAUAUUGCACAAUGGGGGAAACCCUGAUGCAGCGACGCCGCGUGAGUGAAGAAGUAUUUCGGUAUGUAAAGCUCUAUCAGCAGGGAAGAAAAUGACGGUACCUGACUAAGAAGCCCCGGCUAACUACGUGCCAACAGCCGCGGUAAUCUGAGCGGGCUGGCAAGGC